This 527-nucleotide long non-coding RNA is filed under the name Marmota monax (woodchuck). Lineage: Eukaryota; Metazoa; Chordata; Mammalia; Rodentia; Sciuridae. The record is from RNAcentral.
UGGGUUUCUGAUGGUGAUUUAUAUUUAUUCAGAGGAAUAACAGAGGGUGGAUCUGUUCCCGGCGCGAGCAUGCUCACAACCAGCCGACUCUCCCAUUAUCCCACUGCCUAGUUUGGUGCUCCAAUGUACAUGGAUCUUCCGUGUGCAUACGUGUGUAUACAAACACGCAUGCAUGCCUGGAUGGACAUAUGUAUGCACGGGCUGUUUUUUAAGGACAAUUCUUUCAAUAAGGUCUUUACCCCUUACUUGAAACAGGUGUUCAUGAAAAAAAUGCACAAUAUCCCGACCGGCCGGAAUAAUUCAUGAAGAAGGGGCUGGAUCCGUGGGUCAGAGAACACAGGACCAGUUUGCCAUCCCAAGGCCGAAGGUAGGGGACUCUGGGUUUUUAUUCGGCGGAUGGAUUCCUUGUGCUUUAUUUUACGGAUUGUGUUUUUGCCUGCGGCCGCCACGGAAAAGUGCAAUAACGAGCUGAGCUGCCGAUUCCAUUUUGUCGCUUCCUUUCUUACGCCAGGUGUCGGGAGGCCAAG